Molecule: ribosomal RNA, 305 nt
Filed under: uncultured bacterium
Lineage: Bacteria
Description: bacterial SSU rRNA
Rfam family: Bacterial small subunit ribosomal RNA
Source: RNAcentral
AGCCUACGGGGGGCAGCAGUAGGGAAUUUUCGUCAAUGGGCGCAAGCCUGAACGAGCAAUGCCGCGUGAACGAGGAAGGUCUUCGGAUCGUAAAGUUCUGUUGAAGGGGAAAAAGAGCGGAGAGAGGAAAUGGUCUCCGAUUGAUAUUACCCUUCGAGGAAGUCACGGCUAACUACGUGCCAGCAGCCGCGGUAAUACGUAGGUGGCGAGCGUUAUCCGGAAUUAUUGGGUGUAAAGGGUGCGUAGACGGGAUGUCAAGUUAGUUGUGAAAUACCUCGGCUCAACUGAGGAACUGCAACUAAAAU